UUUUUAUUUUAUUGUUUCCUCACACACAUUAGCACAAUUAAAAAUUGAUUCCUAAGAUUGGAACUUCCUUCCCAAGAAUUUCAUGUUGAUCCCCACGUCACACACAUGGAAAUCUUAUCCUAUUUUUCUACUUGACCUCCAAGAAUUGGGAGAACAAUAUAAGCAUAUACACAUAAAACAAAGGAGUGGAGGGGGGAGGGGGCAAUUUCUUUGCACAAAAAAUACUUGCUGAAAAUAAAAUAAAAACGCAGAGGAAUAAGGAGAAGGAAAAGAGAGAUCUAAAAAAUUAAAUCCCUUCUCCCUUAUUUGAGCACCAAGAACAGUCACCAAACAAUUAAUCUAGAACUCCAUAGAAGGCCAGCCUAAAACCCAAUUAAAAACAAUCAAAAACCAGCAGCUAUUUUUCAUGAAAACUAGCUGAAACCUGAAAGUUCACCCAAAAACACACCACCUCAAAACCACCCCCUUAAUCAUCCCUCUCAAGCCAUGAACACUCCAAAAUAGCCAUGAAGCAUAGCUGAAAAGCACUUAAAAUAUAUGCUCAAAUGCAGAAUAAAGAAAAAAUCAGUUCUAGUCAAGCCUCCAAUCGCCGGCGAACUUCGCCGGAAGCCGGCGAAAAUUAACCCCAGCCAUUUCCACCUUUCUCGAACUCCGUUAAAGCCAGAAGCAAAAUCAGCUGCAAAUGACUGUUUCAACACCUGAAAUCAGUCCAAAAAUCAAUCAGAGACGAGGUAUUGUUGUACGAGUGGGAGGAUCUAUCGAGGUCGAGUCUCCGGCUAGUCAAGUUGUAGUCUGGUUGUUUGGAGGUUAAAGUCCAUGUUAAGCCAUUUACCUUCUCUGCUUCGUAAACUCUACUGGUAUUUUAAUUUUCCAUUCGUCCUUUAAUUUAAUGCUUGCCUAUUUGUGAGGUUCUUAUGAAAAGGGACCGUCAAUAGUUUAUUUAAUUUAAUGAUAUCAAAUGGUGUCAGUAGCUAUUUUGGCAUGGAUUAAAAUUUUGUAUCUGCUAGUGAAUUUACUUCUACUUUUAAACUUAACAUUCUUUAUUUGGAAAAAUAAGGACGUACAUAAUUUGUUUGCUGAACUAUGUCGUACUUGUUUUUUUAUGUGUUAAUUAUUUCUUGCUUGUGGACAUUUGUUCUGUAUCUUUUAUCUAAAAUGAAGAGAAAAAGAGGAAGUAAAUAAACUUGGCAUCUACUCAUUUUAUUUAGGAAGAUACAAGAUACUCUUUUUAUUUCCUUCGUUAAUGUUAGUAAUUACAAGUUCUCAUGCUUUUUAGAUCGUAAAAGUGCGUCGUAUCAUAUAUGGUAGAGACACAUUCAUAUUAUUAUUUAGGUCGUUAGUGUGCUUUUGCCAUGUAUUAAUAAAUUUGUUAUCGUGAUUAUGAGCACGUUCGCGUGACAUGAUUACGAGUUCUAAAAAAUAAAAUUGGAGUAUGCGUUCCCGCAAUUUUGGACAAACUUUUCUAAUAAUAAUGAAGCAUUAUU
RNAcentral lists this long non-coding RNA (1484 nucleotides) under Nicotiana benthamiana. Its description in RNAcentral is "long non-coding RNA (NBEN_LNC038462)". The record is from RNAcentral. Lineage: Eukaryota; Viridiplantae; Streptophyta; Magnoliopsida; Solanales; Solanaceae.